Molecule: ribosomal RNA, 2040 nt
Filed under: human gut metagenome
Description: bacterial LSU rRNA
Rfam family: Bacterial large subunit ribosomal RNA
Source: RNAcentral
GGAAAGGUGAAAAGAACCCCGAACAGGGGAGUGAAAUAGAACCUGAAACCAUACGCUUACAACCGGUCGGAGCAGCUUCGUGCUGUGACGGCGUGCCUAUUGAAUAAUGAGCCUACGAGUUACUAAUCACUAGCGAGGUUAAGUGCAAGGAUGCACGGAGCCGAAGCGAAAGCGAGUCUGAACAGGGCGUUUAGUUAGUGGUUGUAGACGCGAAACCUUGCGAUCUACCUUUGAGCAGGUUGAAGGUUGGGUAAAACCAACUGGAGGACCGAACGAAUAAGCGUUGAAAAGCUUCUCGAUGACUUGAGGGUAGGGGUGAAAGGCUAAUCAAGCUGGGAAAUAGCUCGUACUCCCCGAAAUGCCUUUUGGGGCAGCGUUGUAAUAAAGAGUCUACUGGAGGUAGAGCUACUGAUUGGAUGCGGGGGCUUCACCGCCUACCAAAUCCUGACAAACUCCGAAUGCCAGUAGUAUGAUUUACAGCAGUGAGUGACUGGGUGCUAAUGUCCAGUCGCAAAAGAGGAACAACUCAGACCAGCAACUAAGGUCCCGAAGAAUAUGCUAAGUUGAUCUAACGAUGUUUUGUUGCAGAGACAGCUAGGAUGUUAGCUUGGAAGCAGCUAUUCAUUCAAAGAGUGCGUAACAGCUCACUAGUCGAGCGACAGAGCGUGGAUAAUAAACGGGCAUCAAGCAUAUCACCGAAGUUCUGGGCGCGAGAGCGCGGUAGGGGAGCAUUCCAUUCAGCGUCGAAGCAGUUUCGUGAGGAAUUGUGGAGCGUAUGGAAAAGCAAAUGUAGGCAUGAGUAACGAUAAUGCGGGAGAGUAACCCGCACACCGCAAGACCAAGGUUUCCUGAUCAACGCUAAUCGGAUCAGGGUUAGUCGGGUCCUAAGGGUAAGCCGAACGGCGAUCUCGAUGGAUAAUCGGUUAAUAUUCCGAUACUAACAUAUACCUCGAUGGAGAGACGAAGGAACGUAAGUGCCGCCACCUGACGGAAUAGGUGGUUAAAGGGCGUAGGUAUAGGGGCAGAUUAAGAGUUAGUCCUUGCUGAAACCUGACAGUACAGAGAGCCUACGGGCAAUUUGAUAGAGCACCCAAGUCGACUUCCGAGAAAAUCUUCUAAGUUAUAGUAUAUGUUACCCGUACCGUAAACCGACACAGGUGGUCGAGGAGAGUAUCCUAAGGUGCUCGAGUGAAUCACGGUUAAGGAACUAGGCAAAUUAACCCCGUAACUUCGGGAAAAGGGGUCCCUAUGAAAGUAGGGCGCAGCGAAGAGGUCCAGGCGACUGUUUAUCAAAAACACAGGGCUCUGCAAAUUCGAAAGAAGACGUAUAGGGCCUGACACCUGCCCGGUGCUGGAAGGUUAAGAGGGGAUGUCAUCGCAAGAGAAGCAUUGAAUCGAAGCCCCAGUAAACGGCGGCCGUAACUAUAACGGUCCUAAGGUAGCGAAAUUCCUUGUCGGGUAAGUUCCGACCUGCACGAAUGGUGUAACGAUCUGGACACUGUCUCAACCGUGAGCUCGGUGAAAUUGUAGUCCCGGUGAUGAUGCCGGGUACCCGCAACGGGACGAAAAGACCCCGUGAACCUUUACUAUAGCUUAACGCUGAAUUUGGGUACACAAUGUGUAGGAUAGGCCGGAGGCUUUGAAGCGGGCACGCCAGUGUUCGUGGAGCCGACGUUGAAAUACGGCCCUUUGUGUAUUUGAGUUCUAACCCUGCGAAGGGGACACCGUUUGGUGGGUAGUUUGACUGGGGUGGUCGCCUCCAAAAGCGUAACGGAGGCUUCCCAAGGUACCCUCAGCACGAAUGGUAACCGUGCGCGGAGUGCAAUAGCAUAAGGGUGCUUGACUGUGAGACAUACAAGUCGACCAGGUACGAAAGUAGGGUAUAGUGAUCCGGUGGUUCUGCGUGGACUGGCCAUCGCUCAAAGGAUAAAAGGUACUCCGGGGAUAACAGGCUGAUCGCCGCCAAGAGCUCAUAUCGACGCGGCGGUUUGGCACCUCGAUGUCGGCUCGUCACAUCCUGGGGCUGGAGAAGGUCCCAAG